ACAUGAUUCCAUGCUUCCAAGAAAAGCAUCUAGAGAGAGAAGUAGUGCCCGUACCGCAAACCGACACAGGUAGAUGAGGAGAGAAUCCUAAGGCCGGCGGAAGAAUUGCAGUUAAGGAACUAGGCAAAUUGACCCCGUAAGUUCGCGAGAAGGGGUGCCUGCGAGAGCAGGCCGCAGAGAAUAGGCCCAAGCAACUGUUUAGCAAAAACACAGGUCUCUGCUAAAGCGUAAGCUGACGUAUAGGGGCUGACGCCUGCCCGGUGCUGGAAGGUUAAGGGGAACACUUAGCGCAAGCGAAGGUGUGAACUUAAGCCCCAGUAAACGGCGGCCGUAACGAUAACGGUCCUAAGGUAGCGAAAUUCCUUGUCAGGUAAGUUCUGACCCGCACGAACGGCGUAAUGACUUGGGCACUGUCUCAACUGCAAAUCCGGCGAAGUUGUAGUGCGAGUGAAGAUGCUCGCUACCCGCGAUUGGACGGAAAGACCCCGUAGAGCUUUACUGUAGCUUAGCAUUGAAUUCCGGUAUUGUCUGUACAGGAUAGGUGGGAGACUGGGAAGCUAGGGCGUCAGCCUUAGUGGAGUCAACCUUGGGAUACCACCCUGACAGUACUGGGGUUCUAACAGGACGCCAUGAAGCUGGUGACUGGACAUUGUUAGGUGGGCAGUUUGACUGGGGCGGUCGCCUCCUAAAAAGUAACGGAGGCGCCCAAAGGUUCCCUCAGAACGGUCGGAAAUCGUUCGUAGAGUGCAAAGGCAGAAGGGAGCCUGACUGCGAGACCCACAAGUCGAGCAGGGACGAAAGUCGGGCUUAGUGAUCCGGUGGUACCUCGUGGGAGGGCCAUCGCUCAACGGAUAAAAGCUACCUCGGGGAUAACAGGCUGAUCUCCCCCAAGGGUCCACAUCGACGGGGAGGUUUGGCACCUGAUGUCGGCUCGUCGCAUCCUGGGGCUGUAGUAGGUCCCAAGGGUUGGGCUGUUCGCCCAUUAAAGCGGCACGCGAGCUGGGUUCAGAACGUCGUGAGACAGUUCGGUCCCUAUCCGUCGCGGGCGUAGGAAAUUUGAGAGGAGCUGUCCUUAGUACGAGAGGACCGGGAUGGACUGACCUCUGGUGCACCAGUUGUUCUGCCAAGAGCAUGGCUGGGUAGCUAAGUCGGGAAGGGAUAAACGCUGAAAGCAUCUAAGCGUGAAGCCCCCCUCAAGAUGAGAUUUCCCAUAGCAUAAGCUAGUAAGACCCCUUGAAGAACACAAGGUUGAUAGGUCAGAGGUGGAAGUGCGGUAACGUAUGUAGCUGACUGAUACUAAUAGGUCGAGGGCUUGACCGA
Molecule: ribosomal RNA, 1320 nt
Filed under: metagenome
Description: bacterial LSU rRNA
Rfam family: Bacterial large subunit ribosomal RNA
Source: RNAcentral